AGUCCAUGGUAUGGACAAAGUCUCAUCAUGUCCUUGUAUCUCUCCCAAGCAUCGAAAAGAGAUUCAUUUUCUUUCUGUCUAAAUACGUUGAUUUGGGCUCUUAGCAU
Small nucleolar RNA from Lathyrus oleraceus (garden pea), 107 nucleotides. The record is from RefSeq and is a predicted model, not a curated record. NCBI's taxonomy places the organism in Eukaryota, Viridiplantae, Streptophyta, Magnoliopsida, Fabales, Fabaceae.